Molecule: long non-coding RNA, 304 nt
Filed under: Homo sapiens (human)
Lineage: Eukaryota; Metazoa; Chordata; Mammalia; Primates; Hominidae
Description: HSALNT0304226
Source: RNAcentral
GAAAGCGCUCCAAAUGUCCACAUCCAGAUACUACAAAAAGAGUGUUUCAAACCUGCUCUAUGAAAGGGAAUGUUCAACUCUGUGACUUGAAUGCAAACAUCACAAAGAAGUUUCUGGGAAUGCUGCUGUCUGCUUUUUAUAUGUAAUCCCGUUUCCAACGAAAUCCUCAAAGCUAGACAAAUAUCCACUUGCAUAUUCCACAAAAAGAGUGCUUCAAACCUGCUCUAUGAAAGGGAAUGUUCAACUCUAUUACUUGAAUGCAAACAUCCCAAAGAUGUUUCUGAGAAUGCUUCUGUGUAGAUUU